RNAcentral lists this ribosomal RNA (449 nucleotides) under uncultured bacterium. RNAcentral's name for it is "partial 16S ribosomal RNA". It matches the Rfam family "Bacterial small subunit ribosomal RNA", at positions 338 to 795 of the family's 1533-position model. The record is from RNAcentral.
CCUACGGGGGGCUGCAGUGGGGAAUAUUGGACAAUGGGGGAAACCCUGAUCCAGCAAUGCCGCGUGUGUGAAGAAGGCCUGCGGGUUGUAAAGCACUUUCGGUUGGGAAGAAAAGUUUGGCGCCAAUACCGCCGAACCUUGACGUUACUGACAGAAGAAGCACCGGCUAACUCUGUGCCAGCAGCCGCGGUAAUACAGAGGGUGCAAGCGUUAGUCGAAAGCACUGAGGGGAACACGCAAGUCGGGUGUGAAAUCCCCGGGAUUAACCGGGGAACUGCAUUCGAUACUACAUGGCUAGAGUAUGGUAGAGGGAAGUGGAAUUUCCGGUGUAGCGGUGAAAUGCGUAGAUAUCGGAAGGAACACCAAUGGCGAAGGCAGCUUCCUGGACUAAUACUGACACUGAGGCACGAAAGCGUGGGUAGCAAACAGGAUUAGAUACCCGUGUAGUC